RNAcentral lists this long non-coding RNA (1545 nucleotides) under Anas platyrhynchos (mallard). RNAcentral's name for it is "lncRNA (ENSAPLG00020013394.1)". The record is from RNAcentral. Lineage: Eukaryota; Metazoa; Chordata; Aves; Anseriformes; Anatidae.
AUGGCCUGGCCCCACUGCCCCCCUCCCCGGCUGCCCCCUCACCAUGUCGGCCAGGGCCACGUAGAGGAAGGUGCCGGCGGUGCCGGUGAGGAUCCAUGGGGUGAGGUGCGCCGCGCUCUGCCCCACGGCCGCCCCCGCCGCCGCCCCCAGGCAGGAGAGCAGAGCCGAGAGCAGGUUGAGGAGCAGGAGGGUGCGUGGUGCCAUCCCUGCCCGCAGCAGCACCGCCAGGUCGCCUGCGGCACGAGGAGGGUGGGUGGCAGGGCUGGGGAGCCGGGGAGGGGGUGCUGGGGGCCGGGGGGCAGGCACUUACCCAGCUCGUGGGGCAGCUCGUGGCAGAGCACGGCCAGCGCCGUGCUGAGGCCGCUGGAGAGGCUGUGGGAGAAGGAAGCACCUGCGGGAAGAGAGCACGUCCCCACGUGUCCUGUGUCCCUGUGCACCCCGUCACCAUGCACCCCUGUCCCUAUGUACCCCAUGUCCCUGUGCCCCCCCUGUCCUCCUUUUCCUGUGCAUCCCUGGCCCCAUGCACCCAUCUCCAUGCACCCCUGUCCCUGUGCACCCCAUGUCCCCGUGCACCCGUCCCCAAGCAUCUGUCCCCAUGCACCCCAUGUCCCUAUGCACCCUGUCCCUGUGCACCCAUCCCCGUGCACCCCAUGUCCCUGUGUACCCCAUGUCCUCCUGUCCCUGUGCACCCCAUAUCCCUGUGUACCCCCAUCCCUGUGCAGCCCCAUGUCCCCGUGCACCUGUCCCCACGCAUCCCUGUCCCCAUGCAUCCGUCCCCAUGCACCCCAUCCCCGUGCACCCCAUGUCCUCAUUUUCCUGUGCACCCCUGUCCCCGUGCACCCAAUGUCCCUAUGCAUCCCUGCCUCUCCUGUGCCAGUGUACCCCAUGUCCCCAUGCACCUUUGUCCUUGUACACUGCUUUUGUCUCUGUGCAGUGCUUUCCCCAUGCACCCCAUGCCCCUGUGCACCUCUGUCCCUGUGCACCUCAUCUCCAUGCACCCCUGUCCCUGUGCACCCCAUGUCCCCAUCCCCACGCAUCCCUGUCCCCAUGCAUCCGUCCCCAUGCACCCCAUGUCCCUGUGCAUCCCUGUCCCUGUGCACCCAUCCCCGUGCACCCCAUGUCCCUGUGCACCCUGUCACCGUGCAUCCCUGUCCCUGUGUAUCCCCGUCCCUGUGCACCCCAUGUCCCCAUCCCCAUGCAUCCCUGUCCCCAUGCAUCCGUCCCCAUGCACCCCCAUCCCCGUGCACCCACGCCCUGGUGCUCCAGCAGCCCCAUUUAUCCCCGUGCCGCUCACCGAUGGCCAGCCCAUCCGUCAGGUUGUGGAUGCCGUCCCCCAGCACCACCAUCCACACCAGGUCAGUGGCCCUGGGGCUGGGGGGCAGCGCGGGGCCGUGGGAGUGUCCGUGGGAGUGUCCGUGGGGGGGGCCGUGGGGUUUGGGCUCCAGCUCGGGGUCGGGGGCCGUGAGGCAUCGCAGCUCAGCCCCUGCGGUGGGAGAAGCACGGGGUGGGUGCGGGGACCGGGUCCCUGGGUGCUGCAGAGGGUGA